CACACUGGACUGAGACACGGUCCAGACUCCUACGGGAGGCAGCAGUGGGGAAUAUUGCACAAUGGGCGCAAGCCUGAUGCAGCCAUGCCGCGUGUGUGAAGAAGGCCUUCGGGUUGUAAAGCACUUUCAGUCGUGAGGAAGGUAGUGUAGUUAAUAGCUGCAUUAUUUGACGUUAGCGACAGAAGAAGCACCGGCUAACUCCGUGCCAGCAGCCGCGGUAAUACGGAGGGUGCGAGCGUUAAUCGGAAUUACUGGGCGUAAAGCGCAUGCAGGUGGUUUGUUAAGUCAGAUGUGAAAGCCCGGGGCUCAACCUCGGAAUAGCAUUUGAAACUGGCAGACUAGAGUACUGUAGAGGGGGGUAGAAUUUCAGGUGUAGCGGUGAAAUGCGUAGAGAUCUGAAGGAAUACCGGUGGCGAAGGCGGCCCCCUGGACAGAUACUGACACUCAGAUGCGAAAGCGUGGGGAGCAAACAGGAUUAGAUACCCUGGUAGUCCACGCCGUAAACGAUGUCUACUUGGAGGUUGUGGCCUUGAGCCGUGGCUUUCGGAGCUAACGCGUUAAGUAGACCGCCUGGGGAGUACGGUCGCAAGAUUAAAACUCAAAUGAAUUGACGGGGGCCCGCACAAGCGGUGGAGCAUGUGGUUUAAUUCGAUGCAACGCGAAGAACCUUACCUACUCUUGACAUCCAGAGAACUUUCCAGAGAUGGAUUGGUGCCUUCGGGAACUCUGAGACAGGUGCUGCAUGGCUGUCGUCAGCU
RNAcentral lists this ribosomal RNA (758 nucleotides) under Vibrio harveyi. RNAcentral describes it as "bacterial SSU rRNA". It matches the Rfam family "Bacterial small subunit ribosomal RNA", at positions 309 to 1060 of the family's 1533-position model. The record is from RNAcentral. Lineage: Bacteria; Pseudomonadati; Pseudomonadota; Gammaproteobacteria; Vibrionales; Vibrionaceae.